This 491-nucleotide ribosomal RNA is filed under the name uncultured bacterium. RNAcentral describes it as "partial 16S ribosomal RNA". It matches the Rfam family "Bacterial small subunit ribosomal RNA", at positions 28 to 507 of the family's 1533-position model. The record is from RNAcentral.
GAUGAACGCUGGCUACAGGCUUAACACAUGCAAGUCGAGGGGAAACGACGGGGAAGCUUGCUUCCCCGGGCGUCGACCGGCGCACGGGUGAGUAACGCGUAUCCAACCUGCCUCUGACUGAGGGAUAACCCGUCGAAAGUCGGCCUAAUACCUCAUGGUAUCGUCUGCGGGCAUCCAACGACGAUUAAAGAUUUCAUCGGUCAGGGAUGGGGAUGCGUCUGAUUAGCUUGUUGGCGGGGUAACGGCCCACCAAGGCUACGAUCAGUAGGGGUUCUGAGAGGAAGGUCCCCCACAUUGGAACUGAGACACGGUCCAAACUCCUACGGGAGGCAGCAGUGAGGAAUAUUGGUCACUGGGCGAGAGCCUGAACCAGCCAAGUAGCGUGCAGGAAGACGGCCCUACGGGUUGUAAACUGCUUUUAUGCGGGGAUAAAGUGAGGGACGUGUCCCUCAUUGCAGGUACCGCAUGAAUAAGGACCGGCUAAUUCCGUG